This 460-nucleotide ribosomal RNA is filed under the name uncultured bacterium. RNAcentral's name for it is "partial 16S ribosomal RNA". It matches the Rfam family "Bacterial small subunit ribosomal RNA", at positions 28 to 507 of the family's 1533-position model. The record is from RNAcentral.
GACGAACGCUGGCGGCGUGCUUAACACAUGCAAGUCGAGCGGUAAGGCCUCUUCGCGGGUACACGAGCGGCGAACGGGUGAGUAACACGUGGGUGACCUGCCCUCAGCUCUGGGAUAAGCCUGGGAAACUGGGUCUAAUACCGGAUAUGACCUUUCCUCGCAUGGGGUUUGGUGGAAAGUUUUUUCGGCUGGGGAUGGGCCCGCGGCCUAUCAGCUUGUUGGUGGGGUGAUGGCCUACCAAGGCGACGACGGGUAGCCGGCCUGAGAGGGCGACCGGCCACACGGGGACUGAGACACGGCCCAGACUCCUACGGGAGGCAGCAGUGGGGAAUAUUGCGCAAUGGGCGGAAGCCUGACGCAGCGACGCCGCGUAGGGGAUGACGGCCUUCGGGUUGUAAACCUCUUUCGACCCCGACGAAUUUGGACGGUGGGGGUAGAAGAAGCACCGGCCAACUACGUG